RNAcentral lists this unclassified non-coding RNA (390 nucleotides) under uncultured Sterigmatomyces. Its description in RNAcentral is "sequence contains ITS1". The stretch from base 1 to 106 matches the Rfam family "5.8S ribosomal RNA", at positions 50 to 154 of the family's 154-position model. Lineage: Eukaryota; Fungi; Basidiomycota; Agaricostilbomycetes. RNAcentral also lists the same sequence under 1 other name. The record is from RNAcentral.
GAAACGCGAAAUGUAAUGUGAAUUGCAGAAUUCAGUGAAUCAUCGAAUCUUUGAACGCAUCUUGCACUCUCGAAUCACUAUCGAGAGUAUGCCUGUUUGAGUGUCGCGAAACUCUCAACCCCGCCUCAUGCUUUAUUGCGUGUGGGUAGCUUGGGCUUGGAUCAUGAUCUUUGCAGUAAUGCGCUAGCAGAACUGCUGGAUUGAAAUACAACAAGCUGAAUCUAUAUACUUGCGGCUUGACCUGUCGUUGUAAGCACACAAAUGCAUUCGAUGGGGACGCGAGAAAAUGGAAUGAGCUUUCCAAAUGUGUUACACUUUGCAGCUUCUAUUAACUUAGAGCUCUUAGUGCAUUCUGACCUCAAAUCAGGUAGGAUUACCCGCUGAACUUAA